GCCCUCGUGGAUCAGCGGUUAGAUCGUCUUCAUUCAGUUGCAAUCAUGCGGAUAAGAAACAUGUACAUAUGAGGAUGUCGUGAGUUCGAAUCUCACCGAGAGCA
Molecule: non-coding RNA, 104 nt
Organism: Mycena crocata
Lineage: Eukaryota; Fungi; Basidiomycota; Agaricomycetes; Agaricales; Mycenaceae
Source: the annotation of a GenBank genome assembly